AGUAAAUAUGUUUUCCAACCUAUGCAUUAUUUUAUUAAAAUUAUCUUAAAGGAACUACCAAGAAAACAAAAAUGCAAACAGCUAAAUGGGAGAAGAUAUUUGCAAACGAUAUCUUCAAUAAGGCGCUAAUAGUCAAAAUAUAUGAAGAACUCAUACAACUCAACACAUUUUGGAAGUUUUUCUCUGGCUGUAAUAGGGCAUGGAAGCUGGCUAGGUAGAGAGAGGAGAUAGCUUCGGUAUGUAGACCACUGCGGUAAUCUUCUCAAGGAGGGAAAGGAAUAAAGUGAGAAGGGAGAGAAGGAGACCCUGAGCUGCUGAGAUUUCAAGAAACUCGGAGGAGGGAGAGAGAGGGAGGAGCAGUGCGAGGCAGGGGUGCGGGUCUGGGAGGUGGGGGCGCGGGUUUGGGACUCGGACCGUAAGCAAAGUGAGGGCGGGGACUCGGGAGCGCGGCCACCUACUCUCUGCUCCUUCACUGUCCCUAGAAAAGGAGCGCGGCUCGGGCUGCGGAGCUGACUUGGGAGCCCCGCGGCGGCGGCAGCAGAGCCCACAGCGCCUCCCUCGGAGAUCCAGAGCCUCCCAGCCAAGCGCGCGGCGCCGCCGAGACCGUUCAGCUAGCUGGGCGAGCUCAGGGAGCCGGGUGUGCGCUCUCAGCGGGUCGCGGAGCGCGCUUCCCGCCUUUCGCCCAACCCGGGCGAGCAGCCCGCAGGAGCAGACCGAGGGAGCGCAGCGAAAGCAGGACACCGCGCCAGGACACGCGCCUCGGCCGCGUACCAAAGAAUAUGGGUUUUGCCAUAAGAAGAUGGUUUUGCCUACCACUGGGGUGCAUGAUGCUGAUCAAUCUGAUUAAUGCAGAUUUUGAAUUUCAAAAGGGAGUGCUUGCCAGUGUGAGCCCAGGGAUUAUGGAAGACAUUGAUCUCCAGUGCUGGAACGUGUGCUCUUUGACAUUGAUAGAUCUCAAGGAACUUAAGAUAGAGCACAAUGUGGAUGCUUUCUGGAAUUUCAUGUUGUUCUUGCAAAAAUCCCAGCGGCCCAGACAUUAUAAUGUCUUCUUAAACAUAGCUCAGGAUUUCUGGGACAUGUAUGUGGACUGCUUGCUGUCAAGAUCUCAUGGAAUGGGCAGAAGACAGGUGAUGCCUCCCAAGUACAAUUUUCCACAGAGAAUAACAGGAAGUAGUUUAAAUGUAUACUUUAGAGAAUAGCAGUUUAGUUUUCUUAAAAAUUCAAUAUUUAAUCCUUUUUAUUUUUCAAGUUUAUCCAACAAGCUAGGAAACUUAUCAUAUUUUUUCCUAAUAUGAUUGGCUUAUUUUUACUGAUCUCAUGUUAUUUAGAAACCACAGGAGCUCUAAUGUACAAACACUUGAUUCUAUAUGGUCUUGGAAUAUAGUACAUUUUGGUAGAUCAUUAAAAUUAUCUUAUUUUUUUUUCCCAUGAAAAGUUCAUGAGAAAACCAUUUAACACUGUAAUCAUAUUACAUUUGUUGAAUAAAUUUUAAACAUUGGACAUUUAGGCUUUUGAAAUUAAUUUCUUCAAUAGAGUUGUUUAAAAGGAGGGAAUCUCAAGUAAGUAUUAAGUUUCUCUUGUAAAGGGCUGAAUUUUACAAAAUGUGAAUUUUACAUUUAAAGGAGAACAUGGAAAAUAUCUCAAGCAAGAUGACACCAACCUGAGUUUAACUCUGUCCGUAUUUAUGAGGUCAAAUAUUUCCUGUAGUAUUUAUCAAAAUUGUUAUUUCUAAUUCUUUAAUAUCGACAAAGCUUGUAUUUUUGUUGAUGUGUAAUUGCCUUAUAGCUAUUGAAUGAUUUUCCAUCUUUUCAGAUAAUUUUUAAUAGCUAUUUAUUUUAAAGCCAUCUUUGUAAGCAUCUUUAUUUUAAAGAAAAUGGCACCUAAAAUGCAAAUGCAACAUAUUUUUUUAAUACAACAGUUAAUGGAGUAAAAUUGUAACCAAUUUUAUAAAGUAACUUAUACAUAAUAUUCACUUUAAAAGUGUGCCAAAACUAAUGGCAGUAUUGUUAUAAAAAGUAAUUUUAAUUUUGAUGUGCAUGUACUGUGGUUUCUGAUAUGUGCAUUUCAUCACUGAGCCAUCUUAUAUAUUAAAGUAUUGUUCUAUGCAUU
Molecule: long non-coding RNA, 2109 nt
Organism: Pteropus alecto (black flying fox)
Lineage: Eukaryota; Metazoa; Chordata; Mammalia; Chiroptera; Pteropodidae
Exons: 3
Source: RefSeq, a predicted model, not a curated record